UACGACUACAUAUCAGGCAUAUCAAUAAGCGGAGGAAAAGAAACUAACUAAGGAUUCCCUCAGUAACGGCGAGUGAAGCGGGAAGAGCUCAAAUUUGAAAUCUUCAAGGUUCUACCUUGACGAAUUGUAGUUUAAAGAAGUGUUUUCUGUUGGAGUUUUGGUAAAAGUUCUUUGGAAUAGGACAUCAUAGAGGGUGAGAAUCCCGUAUUUGACCAUUAUUUCCAGCUUUGUGAUAGCACUUUCAAAGAGUCGGAUUGUUUGGGAAUGCAGUCCAAAAUGGGUGGUAAAGUUUCAUCUAAAGCUAAAUAUUGGCGAGAGACCGAUAGCGAACAAGUACCGUGAGGGAAAGAUGAAAAGAACUUUGAAAAGAGAGUUAAACAGUACGUGAAAUUGUCAAAAGGGAAGCGUUUGACACCAGUGUUGUUUUCUCGAAAAUCAAUUAAAAAAGGCAGGGAUUUUGUGUUGUAUUGACUUUAUCAGCUUUCUGCACUCUUUUCUUGUCUUUUUUAAUGCACUUUUCGUUUAACAAGUCAACAUCAAUUUCUUUUGUUGUAAAAGGGUCAUUGGAAGGUGGCUUUCUUUUCGGAGAAAGUGUUUAUAGCCUUUGGCCUCUGCAAUCGGAGAGAUUGAGGUCUGCAGCGUAGAUCCUUCGGGGUUAGAUACAUUUGUGCUAAGUUAUAGCCUUUCAUAGACAACUUGUUGACUAUGAUCAGUCAUGUAGCUUACUCGCUUAUGCUAUUUUACCUACGCUUAGGAUGUUGAGCGCAUGUCUCUCUCU
RNAcentral lists this ribosomal RNA (778 nucleotides) under uncultured Neocallimastigales. RNAcentral's name for it is "partial large subunit ribosomal RNA". It matches the Rfam family "Eukaryotic large subunit ribosomal RNA", at positions 24 to 616 of the family's 3401-position model. The record is from RNAcentral. Lineage: Eukaryota; Fungi; Neocallimastigomycota; Neocallimastigomycetes; Neocallimastigales.